AGCAGCCGCGGUAAUUCCAGCUCCAAUAGCGUAUAUUAAAGUUGUUGCAGUUAAAAAGCUCGUAGUUGAAUUUCGGGAUCAAAUUGUCGGUCGUGCCUCGGUACGCACUGGCGUUAUUGGUUCCUCCCUUCUGAAGAACCGCGAUGUCAUUAAUUUGGUGUCGCGGGGAAUCAGGACUGUUACUUUGAAAAAAUUAGAGUGUUUAAAGCAAGCUCGCGCUUGAAUACAUUAGCAUGGAAUAAUGAAAUAGGACGUUUGAUUCUAUUUUGUUGGUUUCUAGGAUCGACGUAAUGAUUAAUAGGGAUAGUUGGGGGCAUUAGUAUUCAAUUGUCAGAGAUGAAAUUCUUGGAUUUAUUGAAGACUAACUACUGCGAAAGCAUUUGCCAAGGAUGUUUUCAUUAAUCAAGAACGAAAGUUAGGGGAUCGAAGACGAUCAGAUACCGUCGUAGUCUUAACCAUAAACUAUGCCGACUAGGGAUCGGAUGAUGUUAAUUUUUUAAUGACUCAUUCGGCGCCUUAC
Molecule: ribosomal RNA, 520 nt
Filed under: uncultured Glomus
Lineage: Eukaryota; Fungi; Glomeromycota; Glomeromycetes; Glomerales; Glomeraceae
Description: SSU rRNA
Rfam family: Eukaryotic small subunit ribosomal RNA
Source: RNAcentral